Molecule: ribosomal RNA, 119 nt
Organism: Gadus morhua (Atlantic cod)
Lineage: Eukaryota; Metazoa; Chordata; Actinopteri; Gadiformes; Gadidae
Source: Ensembl
GGCUACCACCAUAACACCCUGAAUACGCCCGAUCUCGUCUGAUCUCGGAAGCUAAGCAGGGUUGGGCCUGGUUAGUACUUGGAUGGGAGACCGCCUGGGAAUACCAGGUGCUGUAAGUG